CAGGAUCCUUUUGCCUCAGCCUCCUGAGCCCCUGGGAUUACAGGUGUGUGCCACCGUACCCAGAAAAGUGGGGACUUUUAAAAAAUUAAUUAUUUAUUUUAAUUAGGUAUAUAUGAUAGCAGAAUGCAUUUUGACUCGUUGCACACAAUCGCAGCACAACUUUACAUGUCUUUGGUUGUACACGAUGCAGCGUCACACUAUAUGUACAGUCAUACAUGUACCUAGGGUCAUGAUGUCCAUCUCAUUCCACCAUCUUUCCUGCCCUCAUGCCUCCUGUCUACCCUCUUCCCCUUUGCCCUCCAUUUUCCCAUGCCUCCCCCCUCCCUGUUAUGGAUCAGCAUCCACUUACCAGAGAGAACAUUCAGCCUUUGGUUUUUGGGAUUGGCUUACUUUGCUUAGCAUUAUAUUCUCCAGCUCCAUCCAUUUACCUGCAAAUGCCAUGAUUUUAUUCUCUUUUAACGCUGAGUAAUAUUCCAUUGUGUCUAUAUACCACAGUUUCUUUAUCCAUUCAUCUAUUGAAGGGCAUCCAGGUUGCUUCCAGUUUAGCUAUUAUGAAUGAGCUGCUAUGACCGCAUUACUAUAAUAUGCUGAUUUUAAGUCCUUUGGGUAUAGAUUGAGGAGUGGGAUAGCUGGGUCUUUUAAUUGGAUCUGCCGGAACCAGCAGUAGACCCAUCUCUUGAAAUUAAAAAAAUUAAAAAGGCUUCUCUCCUCUGCUGAGCUCAGCUCCCAGGAGAAGAGUCUGGCUCUGUAGCCCAAUCUGUCCUCGAGUUUCUGGGCUCAAGCAAUCCUCCUGCUUCAGACUCCCAAGUAGCUGGGACUCUAGGUGUACCCAGCAAGAGCAGCCUUUAUAUUUCUGCCCUGCAUUCUGUUUACUCAUCUCCCCUGGUGGUACCCUCUUCUCAUACUAGUAAGACCUGGGCUGGAGCAUGGUAGGAGAGUGAGCUAAAGCAUAUUCAAUUUUUGAGACUUUAAAAAAAAUUCUGAGAUUUUAAAUAGAUUUGUUUUUUUAAAAAAUUGCUGUGGUUUAGCUGUAUUCCCCAAAUUUAUGUGUUGGAAACUUGAUUUGCCAUAUGCAAAUGUUGGAUGGUG
RNAcentral lists this long non-coding RNA (1089 nucleotides) under Marmota monax (woodchuck). The record is from RNAcentral. Lineage: Eukaryota; Metazoa; Chordata; Mammalia; Rodentia; Sciuridae.